This 66-nucleotide transfer RNA is filed under the name Homoeocerus unipunctatus. RNAcentral's name for it is "tRNA-Trp". Lineage: Eukaryota; Metazoa; Arthropoda; Insecta; Hemiptera; Coreidae. The record is from RNAcentral.
AAAGCCUUAAGUUAAUUAAACUAUUAACCUUCAAAGUUAAAAAUAUAACAAUAAAUAUAGGCUUUA